UACGUAGGGGGCAAGCGUUGUCCGGAAUCAUUGGGCGUAAAGCGCGUGUAGGCGGUCCGGUAAGUCCGCUGUGAAAGUCGGGGGCUCAACCCUCGGAUGCCGGUGGAUACUGUCGGGCUUGAGUACGGAAGAGGCGAGUGGAAUUCCUGGUGUAGCGGUGAAAUGCGCAGAUAUCAGGAGGAACACCAAUAGCGAAGGCAGCUCGCUGGGACGGUACUGACGCUAAGGCGCGAAAGCGUGGGGAGCGAAUAGG
Molecule: ribosomal RNA, 253 nt
Filed under: uncultured bacterium
Lineage: Bacteria
Description: partial 16S ribosomal RNA
Rfam family: Bacterial small subunit ribosomal RNA
Source: RNAcentral